RNAcentral lists this ribosomal RNA (253 nucleotides) under uncultured bacterium. RNAcentral describes it as "partial 16S ribosomal RNA". It matches the Rfam family "Bacterial small subunit ribosomal RNA", at positions 524 to 776 of the family's 1533-position model. The record is from RNAcentral.
UACGUAGGGGGCAAGCGUUAUCCGGAUUUACUGGGUGUAAAGGGAGCGUAGACGGCGAUGCAAGCCAGAUGUGAAAGCCCGGGGCUCAACCCCGGGACUGCAUUUGGAACUGUGUGGCUGGAGUGUCGGAGAGGCAAGUGGAAUUCCUAGUGUAGCGGUGAAAUGCGUAGAUAUUAGGAGGAACACCAGUGGCGAAGGCGGCUUGCUGGACGAUGACUGACGUUGAGGCUCGAAAGCGUGGGGAGCAAAUAGG